Molecule: transfer RNA, 79 nt
Filed under: Candidatus Faecimonas intestinavium
Lineage: Bacteria; Bacillati; Bacillota; Bacilli
Description: tRNA-Arg
Rfam family: tRNA
About the family: Transfer RNA (tRNA) molecules are approximately 80 nucleotides in length. Their secondary structure includes four short double-helical elements and three loops (D, anti-codon, and T loops).
Source: RNAcentral
GUCCUCGUAGCUCAGUUGGAAAGAGCGCAGACCUCCUAAGUCUGGUUUUGCGGUGGUUCGAGUCCACUCGGGGACACCA